This is a non-coding RNA of Salmo salar (Atlantic salmon), 58 nucleotides long. The record is from Rfam. Lineage: Eukaryota; Metazoa; Chordata; Actinopteri; Salmoniformes; Salmonidae.
UGUCUCAGUUGGUAGAGCAUGGUGUUUGCAACGCCAGGGUUGUGGGUUUGAUUCCCAC